Molecule: ribosomal RNA, 896 nt
Filed under: uncultured bacterium
Lineage: Bacteria
Description: bacterial SSU rRNA
Rfam family: Bacterial small subunit ribosomal RNA
Source: RNAcentral
AGAACGAACGCUGGCGGCGUGCCUAACACAUGCAAGUCGAACGGAAUUAGGGAGCUUGCUCCUUAAUUUAGUGGCGCACGGGUGAGUAACGCGUAGAUAAUCUGCCCUGGUAUCUGGGAUAACAUUUCGAAAGGGGUGCUAAUACCGGAUAAGCCCACGACGGCUUUGGUCGAUGUGGGAAAAGGAGGCCUCUGAACAUGCUUCUGUAUCAGGAUGAGUCUGCGUACCAUUAGCUAGUUGGUAGGGUAAUGGCCUACCAAGGCUACGAUGGUUAGCUGGUCUGAGAGGAUGAUCAGCCACACUGGAACUGAGGCACGGUCCAGACUCCUACGGGAGGCAGCAGUGGGGAAUUUUGCGCAAUGGGCGAAAGCCUGACGCAGCAACGCCGCGUGAGUGAUGAAGGCUUUCGGGUCGUAAAGCUCUGUCAAGGGGAAAGAAAUGCUUAGCGGUUAAUACCCGUUAUGCUUGACGGUACCCCUAAAGGAAGCACCGGCUAACUCCGUGCCAGCAGCCGCGGUAAUACGGAGGGUGCGAGCGUUGUUCGGAAUUAUUGGGCGUAAAGCGCGUGUAGGCGGUUUGGUAAGUCUGAUGUGAAAGCCCUGGGCUCAACCCGGGAAGUGCAUUGGAAACUGUCAGACUUGAAUACGGGAGAGGGUAGUGGAAUUCCUGGUGUAGGAGUGAAAUCCGUAGAUAUCAGGAGGAACACCGGUGGCGAAGGCGGCUGCCUGGACCGAUAUUGACGCUGAGACGCGAAAGCGUGGGUAGCAAACAGGAUUAGAUACCCUGGUAGUCCACGCCGUAAACGAUGAGUACUAGGUGUUGCGGGUAUUGACCCCUGCAGUGCCGCAGCUAACGCAUUAAGUACUCCGCCUGGGAAGUACGGUCGCAAGACUAAA